UACUUGUGCCUCAUUUGGAUUACUUGAAUCGCCACAUGGUUUGGACAAAGGUGGUCCACAGAGCCCCGUAUUCCUUUCAUAUGAAGUGUUCUCAAAAGUCGCAAACUGACCUGAUUGUGGUAUCCUUCCAUACAGCUUGUUUUCACAAAAUUUCAGGGUGCUAAGAAAUGUUAAAUUUGUUAGCUCUUGUGGAAUCUCCCCAGAAAGCUCGUUCCAAGACAGGUCUAGUGAUUCCAACUGACGCAUCUCACCCAUUUUUGUUGGAAUCCUCCCUGUAAAUGCAUUAUGUGACAUGUUCAGUACAUGUAGUGAAACUAGCCUUCCAGUUGAUUCAGGAAUGUCACCAUGAAAUGAAUUAUUUGAGAAGUCAAUAACGGUCAAGGCAGUCCGGACUUUUUCAAAUGUCACGUCUUGGCCUUUAUAUGUGAUUGCAAUAAUAUCAUAGUAGUAUGGAGUUCUAUCGAAGUUAGGAUGACCUAAGAUAUUUCCUGUGUCAUUGGAGUUUGCCAUCAUAAAUGUCAACCUCUCAAACCAUCGUGGGUCCAAAUUGCCAGAGAAGUUGUUUGAGGAUAUAUCAAUAAUUUGUAACCUUGAGAAGUAAUCCCCAAAUUUGCUAUCUCUGGACGGAUAAGCAAGUGGGCCAUAGAACAGGUUGGAUCCCAAAACGAGUACACAGAGAUGGGAAAGCCUACCCAGCCAAGAUGGGAAAGUAUCCACAAUCUGAUUGUUUCCAAUGUCAAGAAUCUCCAAGUUAGCACAGUUGGAGAAAGAUCUAGGCAGCUGCCCUUGAAUCUUGUUGCCAUGCAAAUCUAUUGUCUGAAGAUUACAGUGCUCAGCAACAUUAUAAGGCAAUGUUCCCUCAAAGUGAUUCUCCCUCAAAUUUAAUACAUGCAAGUGGCUAUCUUCUAUCAGACAUGAUGGUAUUAUCCCACUGAACUUGUUAAAUGACAGGUCAAGGACUACAAGCUUGCGUGAAUCGCAAAUUGAAUUUGGUAUGUGCCCGCUUAUGUUAUUUCUGGACAAUGUGAGAUAAGCAGUUUGACUAAGAUAAGCAGUGAAGUUUGACAUAAAAGAAGAGAAUUUGUUGUUAGAAUAAUCCAAGACUUGAAAGAAACUGCUAAAUGCUGUCAACAGGUUCGGCGUCGGGAUCUGGCCUUCAAGUUCAUUGAAACUGAUAUCAAGAUAUUCCAAACGACUAGGGAGCAUAUUUGAACUGAGUGGCAUGUUUGUGAAUAUGUUGUUCGAAAGAUCCAAAAUUAUAAUGCUAUCAUCCCAUGUCUCCCAUAUCCAUUGGGGUAUCGCCCCUUGUAUUUUGUUUCUCGAAAGGUCCAAUGUUCGGAUAUGAUUAACUUGCAUCAAGAAUCUAGGAAUUCUUGUCAUGUUGCAAGAGGCAAGUUCUAAUCUGAAGAGAUUAGGGAGUAAGGGCUCUGUGGGUUUACUGUCUUCUUCGUCCAAGAUGGACAACCUGUUGUUUGAGAGAGCCAAGUAACCAAGCUUUCUUAACUUCCAAGGUGAACUCAAUUGUAUUAAUCCUGUUAAAUUGUUUGAGCUAAGAUCCAUGGCCACCAAACUUGUAAGUUGAAAGAAUGAUGAAGGAAUCUGUCCAGUAAUCUGAUUUUCAUGCAAAUAAACAGCUGACAUGUGUGAAUUUAGUGUAUCGAACUCUUGUAUCGGUCCAGAAAGUUGGUUUGAUGAAAGGUCCAACAGUAACAUUAUUGGAGAAGUGAAUAAAGAUGUGGGGAUCUCUCCUGCAGAUAGAGUUAAAAUGGUUACACUUUAUCAUCGUAUAGUAAAGACACAAACUCCAUAUUCUGUAGAAGAAAGUACGAAUGCCAAGCUUGAAGAGAUGUUACGUAGACUAAGGUUAAACAUAUGAAUGGAUCCUUGUUGUAAUCUAGUAUUAAGUACAUCAAACAUUGAAUGUUGGCCUUGGACUAAGAUUUACUUCAUGAACAUACAGUUUAUGUGAUAUAAAAUUGAUAUCAUUGUAUUCUUAUUAAAAAAUAAUUGCUUAUGGUUAUGAUUUGAAUCACAUAAAUCGCAUAUUAACAGAGGAAAUCUUAAUCAAAGCCUUGGUCAAAGGAGACCCAAUAUGCCUUCAAUUUUAGGAUGGAGGUAAUAUGAACGUUGAGUAUAUUAAUUUAAUCAAGGAACGACGCGCUUUAUCCAAUAUUGAGUUCAUCAUCCGAAACCAUGCCUAACCAAACCUAGAGCAGGUUAUCGGCUGGCAAGCUAUGUUUUGGAAACGUCGAGAGAAACUGAAUUGGUGCAAGCUGGGUGUUUGAGAAUUCACGCUUUUUCCACAUUGCAGUUAUUAUUCAUGAAAAAGAGAUGCAUCUGUUUUUUUUUUAUGAUUCUUUUUUCUCGAAGAGGCAUAAAAAUGUGAGUCAUUCUGUAGUAAUAAAUCAUGUUGAAAUAAGAAGAAGCACGUAAAAAUGACGCAAAGGUACAAACAGGCCAAAAAAAAAUAGGAAAAGAAGUUAAUAUAUCUGGCUCUAGAAAGGACUACAAGGCAUAGAAAGAAAAUCAAAAUCAAACUAAGAAUAAAGGGAGUUUGGACAUGAAUUGACUCUUACCUGUAAGGUCAUUAUGUCCAAGACCCACAUAAAUCAGUUGAGUCAAGUUGACAAUUGUACUUGGUAUUGUGCCAGAAAAUCCGCAGCCCCCUAAUUUUAACACCAUCAAUUUGCUGAGCUGUCCAAUAUCUCUUGUUAUAGGACCACCUAAUAAGCGAUUAGAAGUGAUAUCCAGGCUUCUCAGUUUCUUGAGAUUACCAAUUGAAGAUGGUAUUCUCCCAGAGAAGUGACAGCUGGAGAUUCUCAAGGAAAUCAAUUUGCUGAGGUUGCCUAUUGAUGGUGGUAUUUCUCCAGAGAAGCCACACCUAGUGAUUUCCAAACUUGUCAAGUUGGUGAGGUUUCCAAUCAAGGGGGGCAUUAUCUUGGAGGAAUAGUAAUCAGUGAGUUGCAAGCUUGUCAAGUUCUGAAGGUUACUAAUCCAUGAGAAAAAUGGUCCAAACUCCCCUGAAAAUUUCACAAAAGAAAGCAGCAAGCUUUGCAAGGAGUUGAGCUUGUUGAACAAUAAAUCAGUAGGCUCCAUGGUGGAAAUUGACCUUCCAUCAACAUCAAUACCUAGCCUCCUGAGUUUCAUGAGGUUGCGAAAAGAGCCCAGCUUGAUACUUGAGAAAUUAGUAUAAUACAGAUUCAAAGUCUCCAAAGAAGUCCCAUUUUUAAAUUCUGGUAAAUGUCCUGAGAGUUGGUCAUUGUGUGACACAUCAAUCACUCUUAUAUUCUUGAGGAGGAAGAUUUUCAGUGGAAACGAACCACUGAAAUGGUUAUACUUGAGUUGAAGAACACUAAGGUUAUGAAACUCUGAUAAAAAUUCCGGAAUCACACCAGAAAUAUUGGAAUUACUGUUAAGAUUGAUCACAGUAAGGGAUCGGAGACUUGACAGGGAGGAGUGGAUUGGACCCCAGAGGUUGCAGCCGCCCAUGCUAAGAACCUGAAGACGUGGGACAGAUUUACCUAGACCACUGCACCACUCUUCUCUGCUACUAGAUAUGUCCACUCCAUCAAGGUAGAGUUCCCUCAGAUUGGUAAGGUUUGCAAAUAAGGUUUCAAAGCUGGGCUCUCGUAGCUCCAGAUCGUUGCCGCCAUACAAGAUAUCAUUCAUAUUAUUGGUUUCAAAGGGAUCAAUGUCAUUCAGUGAAGAAAGAUCCAACGAUAUGAGGCUCGUUAGAUUGCCGAUGGUGCUAGGUACCUGACCAUAGAAGCUGGAUUGAGAGAGGUUGAGAUGAGUGAGGUUUGUCAGCCUCCCAAAGCCAACUGCCGGAAUGCGAGAUCUGCCAAAAUCAUUCAUGCUUAGGUCGAGGUAGCAUAAGGAGGCGAGGUUGAAGAGCGCGGCAUGGCAGCCGUAGCUGUAGAGGCCACAGCCACCGAGGUCGAGAACAGUGACAUGGCCACCGCCAGAUAUGCCGUCAUCACAGCCGACGCCCUCCCAGUGGCAGCAGUCGGUACCAGGUUGCCACGACGACAGCGUGGUGGUCGAGUAGUCGAAGAUGAAGGACUCCUUUAGUUGGAGAAGUGCUGCAGCCUGGUCUGGAUGGCACAAAGAUGAAGCUGUGGCAUUACCAGGGGCACGAGAAGCAGAUGCGGCUAACAAAUAGAGUUGUAUCAGUACGAAGAUGGCAGGCAGGUGAGUAGCACAAGCCAUAGGUUCGUUUGGACCUUUGAACUGCAACCACUAUCUCCACUUUGUCUCUUUAUAUACUUGAAUGCAGCACUCCUGCAUGGUCUUGACGAGAAAAUUAACAUUGCAUUGUCUCUUUCACUAAGCAAAGAGCUAGAUUGUGUUUUGUCUUUAUGUUCUGACACAAGUGUGUUUAUUUUAUCUAAAGACCAGAUGUGGUGCCAUGGUGGUAGAGGUGUAAAUUUAUUUAUCGCGAUGAUGGUGACUUUGAAGCCAAGCCACUGCCUCCAAAUGUCUUUAGUCUCCGGCUUCCCAGUACAAUAUUUUCUUUUUUUGACCGAAAGUACAAUAUUUUCUUAUUAGAGGUCAGUACGAUGUACGAUGUUGGCUGACGAUAAUGAUAAGAGGUCACUUUUGAAGAGUUCCUUGGGAAUAUUUUGGAACAAUCCUGUCGGCCACAAUAGCAGGCUGUUGGCUUUCAUAUAUAGAAAUAACUAUGGCAUCUCAUUGUUCUUUCAAUAUCAGGUUUGUUACAUAUAUAGAAUUGGAUAUGGCCUUUUCAGUUAGGUCCACACAAUUCCUCAAUAGUACAAUUAGACGUAUGAGAACAUAUACAGCAAUACAAUGAAUUAGUCAUAACCUGGUACCAAUCUGAAAACAGGAAUGCGGAUUGUGAUGACACAAUUCAGGACAGUGAUACAAAAUGAUCUAUCAUGUAUUAAAUUUUCAACUGCUUAAGGUGACAAAGCACCAGCCUCCAAAUCGUGUCAUUAUCCACAUCAAUGGGGGGCCGGCUUCUCACUUAUCCUGUUCUCUGUGGGUCAACAGCAUGGCUGCAUGGCCGGCUUCUCUUUUUUCCCUCUAGAAUACAGCACAGCCGGCUUCUCACUGAUCCGAGUCAUAAUUGGAAGGGUAGACUUAACUGUAUGCAUAUUGUCUCCCAAAAGGUUGUUGGUCCAUUCAUUUUUUUCCAGAGAGAAAAAUAGCUUAUAUAUAAUCUUAUAAUCUUCUGGACAAUGCCUUCUUUGCUGAGGUGAAAGCUAAUUUCGUUUCCAGGUUCCAACGCCAACGGUCUAGGCUCUAGGAGAGAUUUGUGUGAAUCCUAAAGAAAGCAUGGAUCAAUAACUGAACGUGCUUAAUUACAUGUCUGGGUAAUUUAAAUUUGUUUAUGCAGUUUCUAUCUUGUAUAAUUUUCAGGUUUAUUCAGUCAGAUACCAUGAAACUGUGUGGGUUCUGGGGUUUCGCAUUUCUCAAGCUCGUUACAGCUAUUCCAUGGAAUCAGUAGUAGGCAGUAGCAGAUGGUUGUAAAAGGUGGGACUAUUGAUCUGAAGCCUUCUCUCUAAAAUCACAUCUGCAGGGGAUGCUGCACGCAAUUAACUCAGAAGGACUUGCAGCCCUGGAAGUAAUUAUUUAGUUUUCAGCAAAUCAAGUGUAAUGUGCAGACCAGGUCAAUUGGGUAAAAAUGAUAUAUAUAUAUGCUUAUGCUUAUAGAUAAGAAUCUUUCCAACAGAACAACGGUAUAACGUUGUCUUAUGUUAUGUUUUUCUUAGUUUUGUUAAGGCAAGGCCUUUUUCAAUUUAUAAAACCAAGUAACACCAACAGAUCAGAAAGCGAUUCCUCACCUACUUUGGGGCUGCGAUAAGGCGAGGCAGAACAAGAUGACAGAAUCUGAAGCAGGUGUUGCGGGUUUCCUCUAGCUGCCCUUGUGGUUACAGGCAGGGGCCAGAGCAGUAUUUCCUCCUUUUGUUUUUUGAGUCUCCAGUGCAGUAGUUCCUAGAUGAACAAGAUGGAUCAUACUUUUUUUUUUUUACUUUCUUAGGGAACAAGAUGGCUCAUCGUGCUUUUGCUCUACCAGUUCUCAACUUCUUGAUUCAGCCUGUUAAAAGUAACUUCUGAAUGCCAGUUUUAUCACAAUGUUGUUUUCGUAAACACAGGAACAGUUGAGUGUUGCCAGCAGGAUCCAUUCAUGGCUUGCAAGCUUUUCUCCUGUUGCUGAUUGAUACUCAUCAGCGCUAUCUCUACUCUACUACUCCUUCAGUUCCUAAAUAUAUGUUGUAGUUUUGUCAUAAAAAGUUUGACCAAGUUCUUAAAAACAUCUACUGUCAUCUACAACUCCAAACUAGUUUUAUUGAAUUUUGCCAUGAUAUGUAUCUUCAUAGUAUACUUAUUUGAUAUUGUGAAUAUUAAAUAUUAGUAUACUUUUCUAUUAAUUUGGUGAAACUUUAAGAAAUUCGACUUAGAACAAAACUAGAACAUCUUAUAUUUAGAAACCAAGGUAACAGUAGCGACGUUUGAGCAAUUCACAAGCCCUGGUAACCAGCUCCUGCUGAUGAAUCCAUCAUGGCAGCAGAUACAUCAAUCUCCUCCCUUAUAUAUGUUCACCAAAUAAUCUUUUGGCAAUAAUGCAGUGUAAGGAACAAUUCUUCAGGUCAACAGAUUUGUACAAUUUGGGAAUCAUCUCAACACCCGAUAUCACAGCUACAGCUCUAGUGUAAAUUGGGACAACUAACCCCAUAUUUGUGUUCUAGAAUGAUAGGGCAAUUCUAGAAAUCUCGGAACACAUACACAGAAGCUGGCACAACAAUCAAGUGUUAAGAACAAUGAUUGCCAAAACUUCGGUAACUGGAUUUGCAAGCAAAUGAGGCACCAUCGCUAAGAAUCAAAUAGAAUCGUGUGUUUUCUUAAUUUCAUAUCCAGAUGGUUUUAAAUUGCCCCGUGCAGUUUCUAACUUGUAUACUUUUUGGGUAGUUUCAGUCACAUGCCAUGAACAUGCAUGGGUUCUGGGUUCUCGCAUUUCUCGAGGUCAUUGCAGCGAUUCCAUGGGAUUAGUAGUGCAGAGGGUUUUACAAAGAUGGGACUGGAUUUCUCUGAAACCUUCCCUUUGUGGUUGGACACCAUUAAUUCGGAAGGACUUGCAGCUCUUGAAGUAAUUCUAGUUUUUCAGCAAAUCAUGUGAUUCAUGUGUAUAAUGAAUGUACAGAUUAGGCCGCUUGGGUAAAACGUUAUGCCUAUAGAGAAGAAUCUUGACAACAACCUGUAAAUGAACAGGAUGGCUUAGUUUUGUUUUCCUUGGUUUUCUCUAGCUGCUCUUGUGGUUACAGGCAGAGAGGCCAGAGCAGUAUUUCCUCCUAUUGUUUUUUUGAAACUCCCGAGCCUGGAUGAACAAUGUGGAUCAUAACAACAUCUGAGAUCACAUUUUCUUCAGAUCAACAGAUUAGUAUCAUUUCCCUUUGAACAUUGGAGAGCUUGUUUUUUUUUAAAAAAAAGGCACAAUGGAGAGCUUCUUUUAGUUCAGAAACUAUGUGUAGAUACUGCUAGACAGUAUACUGUUGCCGUUCACGGGCUAAAAUGGGCCGGAAACUGGUUCCGUCCAGCCCACGAGCACACCAUCAGCCCCAUCGCCGACUGAGGUCUCUCUCGCCGGACCCGGAGCGGGCCAGACACCACGCAGCGCGCGGCGCCCCUCCUCGCCGUCGACGACGACCCUCGCGGCGGCGACGAUGUCUGGGGCCUUCGCUGAGGCGGAUCCCAGGAGGUAUACAUUAUACAGUAGAUCUCAUCUCGUCUGGUUGAUAUCAAUUUCUUCGUUGGAUGCAGCUUAGCUGCAAGUAACCCAAUUAAUUUGGUUUUGUGGUUUCAGACAUUUCCGCUUUGCAAUCACGUGAGUAUCAAUUGCUAAUUUAGUACUCCUAAUUGGAUCGAUCCUUUCCCCCUUUUAGUCAAACAAACCUGUUUUCCCCCUUUAACCGGGUGCAAUUGUUUCUCUUUUGACCUUUUAGUUAAGCACAAUGUCUGUCUGCUUGUUUUGUUUUGUUUUGUUUUGUUUUGUUUUUUGCAGGGUGAGUGUAAGUUUUCACCUUAGGAGUAUUACCAAGAGCUAUCGAGUACUCCCUCCGCUCUAGUUCAAAUCCGUGCCAAUCUUUAUGGGACGGAGGGAGUAACAUUUUUGGUAUGUGUGUUUGAACCAGUGUAAGCUACUGAUCGUGUGUCAUCAUGUAUAAUAUCAUUUUAUGCCAUGUGACAGUCGAUGGAAGAAUAUGUGUUGCUCAGCAAAAAAUUGUUUCAGGUACUGAAAGAACUCUUGCAGCUUGUACUAAAUGUGUAUUUGGUUCUAUUUUGUCUCUGCAUCAUAUAUGACAUGAUGACUAUACAAGGUGCUGAAGACUUGAGGAUAUGGCAUUUACUGAAGCAGUGGAUCUUGCAGCUCGCUUUCUCAAUAUCUAUGUACAUUCGGUUUUGUCCAGGUAAGACACCUCACUCUAUGACUCCUUUUUGGGAAACUAAGCAUCACCUCUCUCACUUAACUCCUAGUUUAGCUGCUGGGGAGCAUUAAGUGGUGUUUUCCAUUUGGGAUUGUGAAUGUAGCAUUGUGUUUGAUCUUUCUUACCAUAAGGGUUGUACAUAGAGUGCAUAAAACCAGUUAACACCAACAGACCAAAAAAGGAACAAUUUCUCAUCAAUUUCGGAGUAGCAAUCCAAACUGUGUUUUGCAGUGAUGGUUGGAACUCAAGCCCAAAAAACACAGAAACUUCUAGAUGCAAUCAAUUGAUCAAUAUUUCCAUCACAAUGGUAAUAAAAGAUUUUCAUUUAUGAAUUCGCAAGCAAAAAAGAAAACGAGGCACUGCAGCUAAACUAAAAUCAAGCUGUGUUUGUUUCUGUUGGAUAUUAUUAUCCAAGCCAAGUAGAAGAUAUUAUCUAAUUAUCAGUUAGCCUGAGACACCCAGGCAAAAUGGUCAUCUUUGUCUAUUACAAAAUUGGAGCUCUUUUUUUAUAUGAGGAUUAGGAAUGUGGAGAGGAAGAAGUCAUCCAAGAGCAUCGCAGUGACAAAUUACAGGCACCAGGGAAGGGGUGAUGAGGCGGCUUGGGGCGACAGAUGCCAGCGCGAUGGCCUGUGGGAGAGCCACAAGCGGGUGCGGUGCCACAAGAGGUCACAUGAACUAGAGCAUGCUGGCGGCUGAUCCAUGCAAUGGCAACAACGGGGACACAGCUGCGGCGGUAAGGGCAAGGCAGCAGGAUAGAUAGAUGGUGACAUGAUAGGUUGAUGAAACAAGGUGCAUUAUGGGUGAUGAAUUAAGCAAGUUGUCUUACAGUUUCUGUAUAAAUGUCACAAUGUGGAAACAGCAUUACAUAAACAUAAGAUAGAAAUAUGAGCAUAUAGGGUGACAUAUUACAACUUAUAGUUCUCUUUCAUAAUAGAAUAACUGUACUGACCGUCAGCCUGUGUCUUCAGAUCAUGUUCACACAAUCCGAAACCAUUUGCUGAUUUUACCCCAUUUCAUCAGAAGACCUGCUGUGAAUCCAACGCCAAAGCCCACCCCAACAAAGAGAAACAAGAUAAUAUCAACAUGAUCUUGGGAUAUGUUUACUUGUGCCUCAUUUGGAUUACUUGAAUCACCACAUGGUCUGGACAAAGGUGGUCCACAGAGCCCUGCAUUCCCUUCAUAUGAAGUGUUUUCAAAAGUCACAAACUGAUGUGAUUGUGGUAUUCUUCCAUACAGCUUGUUUUGGCACAAGUUCAGGGUGCCAAGAAAUGUUAAAUUUGUUAGCUCUUGUGGAAUCUCCCCAGAAAGCUGGUUCCAGGACAGGUCUAAUGAUUCCAACUGACUCAUCUCACCAAUCUGUGCUGGAAUCCUCCCCUUAAAUGCAUUAUGUGACAUGUUCAAUAUGUGCAGUGACACCAGCCUUCCAGUUGAUUCAGGAAUGUCACCAUCAAACAAAUUAUUUGAGAAAUCAAUUGCAGUUAAGGUAGUCAAGACUUUUUCAAAUGUAACAUAUUGCCCUUUGUAUGUGAUUGCAACUGUAUCUUGGUAGUAUGGACUUCCAACAAUUGUCGCAUGAUCUUGGAUAUCUCCUAUGUCAUCGAAUUUUGCCAUCAUAGAUGUAAACCUCGCAAACCAUCGUGGAUCCAAGUUGCCAGAGAAGUUGUUUGAGGAUAUAUCAAUGAUGUAUAGCUCUGAGAAGUAUU
This 10150-nucleotide long non-coding RNA is filed under the name Brachypodium distachyon (stiff brome). Its description in RNAcentral is "long non-coding RNA (BDIS_LNC002769)". The record is from RNAcentral. Lineage: Eukaryota; Viridiplantae; Streptophyta; Magnoliopsida; Poales; Poaceae.